UGCGUAGGUGGUUGUUUAAGUCUGCUGUGAAAGCCCCGGGCUCAACCUGGGAAUGGCAGUGGAUACUGGACAGCUAGAGUGCGGUAGAGGGUAGUGGAUUCCCGGUGUAGCAGUGAAAUGCGUAGAGAUCGGGAGGAACACCAGUGGCGAAGGCGGCUACCUGGACCAGCACUGACACUGAAGCACGAAAGCGUGGGGAGCAAACA
RNAcentral lists this ribosomal RNA (206 nucleotides) under uncultured bacterium. RNAcentral describes it as "partial 16S ribosomal RNA". It matches the Rfam family "Bacterial small subunit ribosomal RNA", at positions 568 to 774 of the family's 1533-position model. The record is from RNAcentral.